Molecule: RNA transcript, 2170 nt
Organism: Mytilus californianus (California mussel)
Lineage: Eukaryota; Metazoa; Mollusca; Bivalvia; Mytilida; Mytilidae
Exons: 7
Source: RefSeq, a predicted model, not a curated record
GUGGAGGUAAGAUACAGAAAAACAAUAUGGCGUCCAAACAGGACCCCACGAGCACAACUGAUCCAAUAAACAAGAGUUACCUUGGGAAACGGAGGCAUUCUGACUCAGAGGAAAGACUUACAGGAGAAUCAUCGGACAACAAUUCUCCUCCACGUUUGUUUACAGUGAACAGGACGUCGAGUGAGAGUUCUGAGAUUCAGUCUCAGACUUCAUCAAACGCGAGACCCAUCAACCAUAUUCCAAAGGAGACAAGAGACUGGACAGAAGAAACUAUUUUCAAUAAUCUGCAAAUUAAAGACAUGCUAAGCCCAUCUCCCGUCGAUGUUUUCAAUACGGGAUAUGUUGACUCUUUCUUGAAAAACCAUGUAAAAAUUAGAGAUUACAUGUUAAAGGCCAACAACCAGGUCCAGGACCAAAAGCACAGAUCAAAGUACGACUGCUAUGCAUUUGCACUUAACGAGGCAUUUGAUGUAGACUGCAGUGUUCUUAGUGAUUUAACAAUUUCUAAAGCAUUGCAGUUAACUGAAGAGUUCAAAAAACCAUUUCAGGAAUCAUGUUUUGCCAAGUGGCUGUUUGAAUACAAUCUAAAUUUCAUACAAUUGGAAAAAGACAAAAUUAAGGACAUGAGAAAUAUCUGCCAAAACAUAUAUCCAAGAUUACAGCAAUUUUGUGGUCAGCUUCUAUUUAUGGUGGAGCGUACACAUAGGCAGAAUUCAGAUAACCUGACACAGGCUAUGUAUCAAGAAUUAUUUGUGACCUUUUUGAGAAUAUUUGGUGUUACUGUUUUAGAUGUUCCAAAUCUGCCUGCUUAUCAUCUGACAAUUGGGGACAGGGUAGUAACUUCAAUACCUGAUGCUGUUGUUUGUAGCUAUGUUAGGAAUGGUGAAGAAGUAGAGGAGAAAGUUAUUGCUGUUGUAGAGGUAAAGAAAGACUACCCCAGACCAGACUCAAAUCUGGAAAUUGUGAGGCAGACCAGAAAUUCUGAAAGGAAGACAUCAGCUAUUAAGCAUAUUGAUUCUGGACUAAAAGGCCAGCAUGCUGGAGAAAUGUUAGCAGUUAUUCCUUCAUCUGUAUUUGGUUCUAAUGGAAUAUAUGGAAUCAUAGUACAGGGAACAAUGAUCACAUUUGUAUCCCUGGCAACAAGUCAAGAAUAUUGUAAUAACCUUAGUGAAGGGAAAAUGAAGAAUUGUCAUGCUACAAUAAAGUACAGCAAUGCAGUUAAUAUGCUGUCUACGGAGGGAAGAAAAGAACUUGUCAGUACCUUCCUUGGAAUGUCAACUUUACUUGAUUGUAUGUCACAGGAAAUAAUGAACUAGGUAAGCACUGAUUCACUUAAAACUGAGACCAAGAAUAGUCAAGUCUGUUCACAGCAACCUGAUCAUACUAAAAGGUUUGUUUGUCCAAAAGAUGAUCAUUCGAACUCUCAGCACGAUAGUGGAUAUGAUCAGGGUCUGGACUUUGAUUCAAUUACAAGUGCCAAUCAGGAUACACAUGGUUUCAACACUGAGUCUCUAGGAAUAAAUAGAUUAAAUGAGUAUAGUGCUCUACUGACAAACAAUAGUGAUGGGUAUGAAUCAAUGGAUGGAUCUACUACAAACAGCCAAGGUGCUUUCCUUCUAUCGUCUACAAUGAGAAGAAUGUUACCUGCUGCCAGAUCUACUAUGAAAAAUACUGUGGGGACAAUGAUUAAAUCUGUGAUCCAUUUACAGAAAUGUGACCAAAGUUUUAUUUGAUAUUGUUUUAUACAUUGUUUGUGUUCCAUAAAAACUCAUCGAAGAAACCAGGUUUAUACUUUUGUACGCCAGACACAUGUUUCAUCUUCAUAAAACUUAUCAGUUACGCUUGAAACAAAACAGUCGAAAAGACAAUUCAGAUACAAAGUUAAAAAGCAUCAAAAACCGAAAAUUCGAAAAAAAAGUUAUGCAAAAUAAAGCUAAGGCAAUUUUAACCUAGGGGUAGAAAAAUCUUUUCGAAUGACUCAACAUUUCCUGAAUAGUAAAUUUACAGAAAAUGAUAUUUCAUGGCAACACAAAAGUGGUGACUACUGGUCUGGUGAUACCCCCCGAGGAUAAAAUGUCUGCCAGCAGUUGCUUCAACCCAUAGUUGUAAAAUCUAUGUACAGAAAUGUGACCAAAGUUUUAUUUGAAUAAAUUAUAUAUUUAUUGUUUAA